AUACGGAGGGUGCAAGCGUUAUUCGGAAUCACUGGGCGUAAAGGGUGCGUAGGCGGUUUGAUAAGUCUGAUGUGAAAUCCUAUGGCCCAACCAUAGAACUGCAUUGGAAACUGUCAGACUAGAAUACUGAAGGGGCAGAUGGAAUUAGUGGUGUAGGGGUAAAAUCCGUAGACAUCACUAGGAAUACCGAAAGCGAAAGCGAUCUGCUGGGAAGUUAUUGACGCUGAGGCACGAAAGCGUGGGGAGCAAACGGGAUUAGAAACCCUAGUAGUCC
This 274-nucleotide ribosomal RNA is filed under the name uncultured bacterium. RNAcentral describes it as "partial 16S ribosomal RNA". It matches the Rfam family "Bacterial small subunit ribosomal RNA", at positions 523 to 796 of the family's 1533-position model. The record is from RNAcentral.